AUACGUAGGUGGCAAGCGUUGUCCGGAAUUAUUGGGCGUAAAGCGCGCGCAGGUGGUUCCUUAAGUCUGAUGUGAAAGCCCCCGGCUCAACCGGGGAGGGUCAUUGGAAACUGGGGAACUUGAGUGCAGAAGAGGAUAGUGGAAUUCCAAGUGUAGCGGUGAAAUGCGUAGAGAUUUGGAGGAACACCAGUGGCGAAGGCGACUGUCUGGUCUGUAACUGACACUGAGGCGCGAAAGCGUGGGGAGCAAACAGGAUUAGAUACCCUGGUAGUCCACGCCGUAAACGAUGAGUGCUAAGUGUUGGGGGGUUUCCGCCCCUCAGUGCUGCAGCUAACGCAUUAAGCACUCCGCCUGGGGAGUACGGCCGCAAGGUUGGAACUCAAAUGAAUUGGCGGGG
RNAcentral lists this ribosomal RNA (397 nucleotides) under uncultured bacterium. RNAcentral describes it as "partial 16S ribosomal RNA". It matches the Rfam family "Bacterial small subunit ribosomal RNA", at positions 523 to 918 of the family's 1533-position model. The record is from RNAcentral.